GACUUAUAUAGCCACCACUUAUAAAACAUGACUUUAGGGGUCAAAAGCUAUUGAAAAGACAAAACAACCCUUACUAAUUACUGAAUAAAAAUAAAAAAAAACUAAAAUAAAUUUUGUUUACUUAAAGAAUAAAAAAACAAAAAUAGAAAACCUAAUUAAAGAAAAAAACAACAGAAUUUGAAUUCACUCCCUCUCUUCUGCGGUUUCUCCCUGCCGUUCUCUCCCCCAGAAAUUGAAUGUAGCGGCGGCCACCCUUUCUCUCCAGCGGCGGCGACGACGUUCCUUCCUCCAUCGGCGGUACUCCAGCAGCACGGCGUUUUCCAGCGGGCAAUCCUCCAGCGGCGGCACUUCUUAGGGCUCCAGCGGCGGUGCCAUGUUCUCCGGCGCUUCUACCCUCUCCUCUCUCUCCCUCUCUUUGCUGCGGCGACGGGUGGGCAACGCUGAAAUGGGUGGAGUCGCGGUCGUGGCUACGGAAUGGGAGGAAGGAUUCUCUCAGCCCACAGAGUCGCGGCGGCGACGAGCUUCCUCUCCAGCGCAGCGGUGGCGACGAGCUUCCUCUCCAGCGGCAGCGACAGCAGCAGCAGCGACCCUACCUAGGGUUUCUACGGAACGGCGGCGGCGACUCGGCGGACUCCAGCGCAGCGGCGGCGACGAGCUUCCUCUCCAGCACAGCGGCAGCGACGAGCUUCCUCUUAUGCUUAACUAUCCUCUCUCACUCUCAAAGACGAUGGCUAUCACAGACGAUGGCUAUCACAGACCAGGCAACUGCACUUGUACAAGCCGGUGUCCCCGUUAUUCGACUAGCAGCAGGAGAACCGGAUUUCGACACUCCAAUUCCAAUUGCUUAGGCUGGGAUUAAUGCAAUUCGUGAAGGGUUCACUAGGUAUACUCCCAAUGCAGGCACAUUGGAGCUCCGCACAGCUAUUUGUCACAAGCUUAAAGUGAAAUUGGUUAUACACACUUGAUUACACAAUUGGUGCAUUAGGGCAUCACCAAGGGGCUGUCGACGAGCAGUAUUUGUCCCAGUAUAGGUUUCGUGUUAGUCGUUGGAUAUUUUCUGUUACUGUUUGAUAUUUAGGUUGGAUUAUGAUUUGGGUUGUUUUAAAUUAUGGCUUGGGGUGUUAUGGAUUUG
Long non-coding RNA from Salvia miltiorrhiza (redroot sage), 1132 nucleotides. RefSeq lists it as uncharacterized. NCBI's taxonomy places the organism in Eukaryota, Viridiplantae, Streptophyta, Magnoliopsida, Lamiales, Lamiaceae. The transcript is spliced from 3 exons. The record is from RefSeq and is a predicted model, not a curated record.